UACGAAGGGGGCUAGCGUUGCUCGGAAUUACUGGGCGUAAAGGGCGCGUAGGCGGAUAGUUUAGUCAGAGGUGAAAGCCCAGGGCUCAACCUUGGAAUUGCCUUUGAUACUGGCUAUCUUGAGUUCGGGAGAGGUGAGUGGAAUGCCGAGUGUAGAGGUGAAAUUCGUAGAUAUUCGGCGGAACACCAGUGGCGAAGGCGACUCACUGGCCCGAUACUGACGCUGAGGCGCGAAAGCGUGGGGAGCGAUCCGG
Molecule: ribosomal RNA, 253 nt
Filed under: uncultured bacterium
Lineage: Bacteria
Description: partial 16S ribosomal RNA
Rfam family: Bacterial small subunit ribosomal RNA
Source: RNAcentral